Molecule: ribosomal RNA, 429 nt
Filed under: Bacteroidota bacterium
Lineage: Bacteria; Pseudomonadati; Bacteroidota
Description: Bacteroidetes bacterium partial 16S ribosomal RNA
Rfam family: Bacterial small subunit ribosomal RNA
Source: RNAcentral
UAGGGAAUCUUCGGCAAUGGGGGGAACCCUGACCGAGCAACGCCGCGUGAGUGAAGAAGGUUUUCGGAUCGUAAAGCUCUGUUGUUAAGGAAGAACGAGUGUGAGAAUGGAAAGUUCAUGCUGUGACGGUACUUAACCAGAAAGGGACGGCUAACUACGUGCCAGCAGCCGCGGUAAUACGUAGGUCCCGAGCGUUGUCCGGAUUUAUUGGGCGUAAAGCGAGCGCAGGCGGUUAGAAAAGUCUGAAGUGAAAGGCAGUGGCUCAACCAUUGUAGGCUUUGGAAACUGUUUAACUUGAGUGCAGAAGGGGAGAGUGGAAUUCCAUGUGUAGCGGUGAACUGCGUAGAUAUAUGGAGGAACACCGGUGGCGAAAGCGGCUCUCUGGUCUGUAACUGACGCUGAGGCUCGAAAGCGUGGGGAGCGAACAGG